This 439-nucleotide long non-coding RNA is filed under the name Malus domestica (apple). RNAcentral's name for it is "long non-coding RNA (MDOM_LNC009962)". Lineage: Eukaryota; Viridiplantae; Streptophyta; Magnoliopsida; Rosales; Rosaceae. The record is from RNAcentral.
UAUAAAAAUGAAAUUUUAAGGAAACAAAACUGCGGCAAACUCGCAUUCUUCCUCCUACACUCUCUUUGCUCUCUCUCUGAUGCACUGACCCUCGCACACUCGUUCGCCAUGGAAGAGAGCUUUCCAGACUCGUCGAGGUUGCACCUGGACGGAAACCCAUGUCGUCUACUGAUUUCCUGCAGAGGCUGCCGUCCGAUUCUAAAACGCGAUGUUUGAUUUUGGUUUAUUUAAUUUUGCAUCUGAAGGUUUGAUUUUCUGCCGUCCGAUCGGGACUCGAGAGCCUUCUCCCGAUUCUAAAAUGUCAUGCCAACGCCGACAGUCAUGGCUGCAGAAUUAUUUUUCAUUUUUCUCUUUUAAUUUUUUUGUGUUUUAAGAAUAAAAUGGAUAUUUAAUCCAACUGUAAAUAAGUUGUAUAUAUGGCAGAUUUUGAGUAUAAGUG